This is a microRNA precursor of Hucho hucho (huchen), 58 nucleotides long. Lineage: Eukaryota; Metazoa; Chordata; Actinopteri; Salmoniformes; Salmonidae. The record is from Ensembl.
GGAUUCCUGGCAGAGUGAUUUGGUAUUGUGUCAUAAAAUCACAUUGCCAGGGAUUUCC